UAAAUCAAUUAUUGGCGCCCGGCCCAAGCACACACGCAAUAGAGAGGGAAUGGGCGAAUCAUCAGCGCGUAAUAUGGCGCGCAGACCGGAGGAAGAUCGGAAAAUGGUUCAUCUUCAUCGGAAACCAACAAAAUAAUCUCCAUUCCACCUUGCCACGUAUGCUUUUUGGCACCAGAAUUCCCCUUACCACGUGUCCAUACACUAUUGGAUAAUUGCACGUGUGUGUAACCGCACUGGAAGUGGAAGGAAUCACCACUACUUUUGAGUCAGUAAAAAGUCUGUGCACCAACAAACCCACCCACUCACACCAUCCUUUUAUGAUUUUAUCUCGUUUGUUUGUUACUUUGUCAUCUUCCUCUCUCGCCUCUUUCAUUUUGUUCAUCCUACCUACGUACUAUUUGCCUUCACUGUCUUUUAAAAGAUCUCUUCGAAUUCUCUGAAUUGGAGAAGACAGAUAGGGUUUCGACUUUGGAGGAUGAAGCUGGAGAUAAAAGCUGACGAAGAUGAUGAUAGCUAGGGCUUCGAAUUCCUUUUUGGCGCGUCGUUUUGAGUUGAAGAAGAGGAGGAGAUGAAAAUUAAGGUCGUUGCAUGCUUUUCCACGGCUUUCUUGAACUUGGUACUUAUGACUGUAUCUGUUUUCUUAACUAGAUAAUUCAAUAACAUACAAAUCUCAGUAGUCAGUGCGAAGCUCAAGAAAGCCGUGGGAAAACAUGAAAGGAUUUUGUUGUAAUUGUAUUUUUUGUUAAUUUUAUAUGGCCUUCUUCACGAGGUAAGGUAAGUUUCACACACUGCUCAUCUUCAUCUUUUCUCACUGAUCUCUAAACCUAGGGAUAUAUAUACAACGUCAUUCUUUCCAUUUUUACACAGAUCUGGCCUUGGAAAUGCAAUUUAUUGAGCACUUAUAAUUGUGGAAAUAUGGAGAUGAUUUUCAUCUUGAUUGUGGUGGAUUUAUAUUAUGAUGUACAGUUAUCAAAUUUCUACUAUUAGUUACGGAAAAUCCAUGGUGGUUUCACAGAAAUCAAAUAUUCUGUCCAUGGAUUCAGCUUCAUCUCAAUGAUCUGAUGACAUUUUGCUUUGUGAUUCACAUUUUUUUUUUUUUUGCACUGGUUUACUUUUUACUUCUCCAUAGACCAUCUCCAUACAUGUGAAUUUUCGAGAAGGUUUUGCUUGUUCAUACACCCAUAUAUAGCAGUUCUUCUCAAUUCUAGCUCAAAACAACAGGUUUUUUCUUUCAUCCUCAGUACUCCAUGAAACUUAAAAAGUCUAGAGCUAUGCAUUUAAUUGAGAGAACAUACUGUUGGUUGGGCACAUGUGGUGUUACCACUGCGGAAUUAAAAAUCUUUUUGUUUGAUUUUGGGGCAAAAUAAUGAAUAAUGUUGUUUCUUUUUGUUGGCGGGACAAGGUGGGAGGGUGAAAAUCUAAUGGUGGACCCUAAAUUGUCUGUCCAUGAACGGCCAAAUUGUCAGAAAAGUUCUUCUGAUGGUACCUGUUUUCCAUAGUUAAUCUUCAGUUUCAAUACUUCGACUUGGAUGGAGGGAGGAGAUUAUCAGGUCUGAAGGCUUCAAAGGGCUUUGAUAUACUGAGAGAAGCUUUCUUGCUUGGAUAUGGAAUUUAACUAAAUUGCAGUCUUUGAUUCUUUUCCGUAUUAAUUAUCAGGUCUUAAAGCUUCUGUUUUUAAUUUUUAUACUAUUUUACAAAUAAAAUGGAAGAUAUAUAUAUGUGCAUAUAAGACGUCAAAUUGUUUGUAUGGUGUUGUGAUUUGUUGUGUAAGCAUAACAAAAGAAAUGGGUGAUAGAAAUGUAAAAGAUUAAUAUAUAAAAACUAAUUCAAUUUUUCAAAGCUUGCGAACCCCAUUCAAAUGAAGGAGGGGUGGGCAAUAUACAUA
Mangifera indica (mango) is the source of this 1885-nucleotide long non-coding RNA. RefSeq lists it as uncharacterized. The transcript has 2 exons. The record is from RefSeq and is a predicted model, not a curated record. NCBI's taxonomy places the organism in Eukaryota, Viridiplantae, Streptophyta, Magnoliopsida, Sapindales, Anacardiaceae.